AGCAGCCGCGGUAAUUCCAGCUCCAAUAGCGUAUAUUAAAGUUGUUGCAGUUAAAAAGCUCGUAGUUGAAUUUCGGGAUUUAUCCGUUGGUCGGGCUUUUUGGUCUGUACUGGCGUGAUGGAUUCCUACCUUCUGAAUAACCGGCAUGCCAUUAAUUUGGUGCGCCGGGGAAGCAGGACUGUUACCUUGAAAAAAUUAGAGUGCUUAAAGCAGGCUUAUGCCUGAAUACAUUAGCAUGGAAUAAUGAAAUAGGACGCAUGGUUCUAUUUUGUUGGUUUCUAGGAUCACCGUAAUGAUUAAUAGGGAUAGUUGGGGGCAUUAGUAUUCAAUUGUCAGAGGUGAAAUUCUUGGAUUUAUUGAAGACUAACUUCUGCGAAAGCAUUUGCCAAGGAUGUUUUCAUUAAUCAAGAACGAAAGUUAGGGGAUCGAAGACGAUCAGAUACCGUCGUAGUCUUAACCAUAAACUAUGCCGACUAGGGAUCGGACGAUGUUAAUUUUUUCAAUGACUCGUUCGGCGCCU
Molecule: ribosomal RNA, 520 nt
Filed under: uncultured Acaulospora
Lineage: Eukaryota; Fungi; Glomeromycota; Glomeromycetes; Diversisporales; Acaulosporaceae
Description: SSU rRNA
Rfam family: Eukaryotic small subunit ribosomal RNA
Source: RNAcentral